RNAcentral lists this ribosomal RNA (503 nucleotides) under uncultured bacterium. RNAcentral describes it as "partial 16S ribosomal RNA". It matches the Rfam family "Bacterial small subunit ribosomal RNA", at positions 30 to 523 of the family's 1533-position model. The record is from RNAcentral.
AUUGAACGCUGGCGGCAGGCUUAACACAUGCAAGUCGAGCGGGGUGAUGGUGCUUGCACUAUCACUUAGCGGCGGACGGGUGAGUAAUGCUUAGGAAUCUGCCUAUUAGUGGGGGACAACAUCUCGAAAGGGAUGCAUAUACCGCAUACGUCCUACGGGAGAAAGCAGGGGAUCACCUGUGACCUUGCGCUAAUAGAUGAGCCUAAGUCGGAUUAGCUAGUUGGUGGGGUAAAGGCCUACCAAGGCGACGAUCUGUAGCGGGUCUGGGAGGAUGAUCCGCCACACUGGGACUGAGACACGGCCCAGACUCCUACGGGAGGCAGCAGUGGGGAAUAUUGGACAAUGGGGGGAACCCUGAUCCAGCCAUGCCGCGUGUGUGAAGAAGGCCUUAUGGUUGUAAAGCACUUUAAGCGAGGAGGGGGCUCUUUUGGUUAAUACCCAAGAUGAGUGGACGUUACUCGCAGAAUAAGCACCGGCUAACUCUGUGCCAGCCGCCGCGGUAA